Molecule: long non-coding RNA, 672 nt
Organism: Drosophila rhopaloa
Lineage: Eukaryota; Metazoa; Arthropoda; Insecta; Diptera; Drosophilidae
Exons: 5
Source: RefSeq, a predicted model, not a curated record
GGUUUGUGCCUUUCAUUCGCUUCAAAAUCUCGCGCUUGUGCGGUUGUGCGGAGCGGACGAGUUGGAAAAGAAAAACCAGCGGAGGUUCAAUAUUUUCUGUUCGGGCGCAUUGUUUGAGGCUCGUUUGGAGAACUGCAGGCGUUCAAAACUCGGAAUCGAAAUCGAAUAAUAUCCCACAUCAAAAUUUCCAAUUCACAACGCUCGCAAGUCGAAAGUGAAAUUCGUCGACGCAACGGUAAAUCAAAGUCAACGCGAUUUUUGUUCAAUGAAUGGAAUAGCAACCAAACACAAAUCCCGCUUAAUUAAUCAAAUUCAAUUGCAAAUUAUUGAAGCCGCUUAAAGUUUCUGAUCGUAAUAAUUAGCAUUGCAAAGCUGAUGCUAAAGUGUUUAACAGUUUAACAAAAAUAACAGGAAAAUCGGUGAUUUGGUGUGCAAUAAGUUGAGAAAACCAGAAACCAAAACAGAGCCACAGAUCCGGAGAUUGCAGACGAAAGAAGUUUCGAAAUCUUUAUGUUUGAUAAGAACAUAUAGUGAGAAACUAUUCAUCACGAGCUUAUAUAAUUUAAGCAGACGUCUCAAGAAAUUGCGCAAGACUAAACCUUUUUUGUUUUGGACAAGUUGGCCCCAACAACCAAAACAAAUGCAAAUGUGCGCCCCAAAGACAUAUUACCA